This 1344-nucleotide ribosomal RNA is filed under the name Faucicola osloensis. RNAcentral describes it as "bacterial SSU rRNA". It matches the Rfam family "Bacterial small subunit ribosomal RNA", at positions 83 to 1428 of the family's 1533-position model. Lineage: Bacteria; Pseudomonadati; Pseudomonadota; Gammaproteobacteria; Moraxellales; Moraxellaceae. The record is from RNAcentral.
UAGAUAUGAUUAGUGGCGGACGGGUGAGUAACAUUUAGGAAUCUGCCUAGUAGUGGGGGAUAGCUCGGGGAAACUCGAAUUAAUACCGCAUACGACCUACGGGUGAAAGGGGGCGCAAGCUCUUGCUAUUAGAUGAGCCUAAAUCAGAUUAGCUAGUUGGUGGGGUAAAGGCCCACCAAGGCGACGAUCUGUAACUGGUCUGAGAGGAUGAUCAGUCACACCGGAACUGAGACACGGUCCGGACUCCUACGGGAGGCAGCAGUGGGGAAUAUUGGACAAUGGGGGCAACCCUGAUCCAGCCAUGCCGCGUGUGUGAAGAAGGCCUUUUGGUUGUAAAGCACUUUAAGCAGGGAGGAGAGGCUAAUGGUUAAUACCCAUUAGAUUAGACGUUACCUGCAGAAUAAGCACCGGCUAACUCUGUGCCAGCAGCCGCGGUAAUACAGAGGGUGCGAGCGUUAAUCGGAAUUACUGGGCGUAAAGCGAGUGUAGGUGGCUCAUUAAGUCACAUGUGAAAUCCCCGGGCUUAACCUGGGAACUGCAUGUGAUACUGGUGGUGCUAGAAUAUGUGAGAGGGAAGUAGAAUUCCAGGUGUAGCGGUGAAAUGCGUAGAGAUCUGGAGGAAUACCGAUGGCGAAGGCAGCUUCCUGGCAUAAUAUUGACACUGAGAUUCGAAAGCGUGGGUAGCAAACAGGAUUAGAUACCCUGGUAGUCCACGCCGUAAACGAUGUCUACUAGCCGUUGGGGUCCUUGAGACUUUAGUGGCGCAGUUAACGCGAUAAGUAGACCGCCUGGGGAGUACGGCCGCAAGGUUAAAACUCAAAUGAAUUGACGGGGGCCCGCACAAGCGGUGGAGCAUGUGGUUUAAUUCGAUGCAACGCGAAGAACCUUACCUGGUCUUGACAUAGUGAGAAUCCUGCAGAGAUGCGGGAGUGCCUUCGGGAAUUCACAUACAGGUGCUGCAUGGCUGUCGUCAGCUCGUGUCGUGAGAUGUUGGGUUAAGUCCCGCAACGAGCGCAACCCUUUUCCUUAUUUGCCAGCGGGUUAAGCCGGGAACUUUAAGGAUACUGCCAGUGACAAACUGGAGGAAGGCGGGGACGACGUCAAGUCAUCAUGGCCCUUACGACCAGGGCUACACACGUGCUACAAUGGUAGGUACAGAGGGUUGCUACACAGCGAUGUGAUGCUAAUCUCAAAAAGCCUAUCGUAGUCCGGAUUGGAGUCUGCAACUCGACUCCAUGAAGUCGGAAUCGCUAGUAAUCGCAGAUCAGAAUGCUGCGGUGAAUACGUUCCCGGGCCUUGUACACACCGCCCGUCACACCAUGGGAGUCUAUUGCUCCAGAAGUA